ACCAAAGCUAGCCCAAACACAAACCAAACCUGUAUAAACAAUAACCCCUCAUUAAAAUAAAACAUUUAUCACACAAAAGUAUAGGAGAUAGAAAUUUUAAUAUUGGAGCUAUAGAGAAAGUACCGCAAGGGAACGAGUGAAAGAUCAAUUUAAAGUAUUAAAUAGCAAAGAUUACCCCUUGUACCUUUUGCAUAAUGAUUUAACCAGAAAAAACUUAGCACAGCGACCUUAAGUUAAGCCCCCCGAAACCAGACGAGCUAUCCAUGAACAGCUAAUCUGAGCAAACUCGUCUAUGUAGCAAAAUAGUGAGAAGAUUUAUGGAUAGAGGUGAAAAGCCUAUCGAGCCUGGUGAUAGCUGGUUGUCCAGCCAAGAAUUUUAGUUCAACUUUAAAUUUACUAAACUAAGCUACAAAUUAUCAUGUAAAUUUAAUUGUUAAUCUAAAGAGGUACAGCUCUUUAGAUCAAGGAUACAACCUUAAUUAGAGAGUAAAACUUAACAAUAACCAUAGUUGGCUUAAAAGCAGCCAUCAAUUAAGAAAGCGUUCAAGCUCAACAAAAAUCCUCCCUUAAUUUAAUAAUUUUUAAUCAACUCCUAAUAAAACACUGGACUAAUCUAUAAUCUUAUAGAAGAAAUACUGUUAAUAUGAGUAACAAGAUUCUAAUCUCCCAAGCGCAAACUUAUGUCAGAUCAAAUAAUAGCUGAUAAUUAACAGCCAAAUAAACAAAACCUAAAAUUAACUAUUUAUACUCUUACUGUUAACCCGACACAGGAGCGCUAUCCACCAAAGGAAAGAUUAAAAGAAGUAAAAGGAACUCGGCAAACACAAACCCCGCCUGUCUACCAAAAACAUCACCUCUAGCAUUUUAAGUAUUAGAGGCAAUGCCUGCCCAGUGACAAUUGUUAAACGGCCGCGGUAUCCUGACCGUGCAAAGGUAGCAUAAUCAUUUGUUCCUUAAAUAGGGACUUGUAUGAAUGGCCACACGAGGGUUUAACUGUCUCUUACUUCCAAUCAGUGAAAUUGACCUUUCCGUGAAGAGGCGGAAAUAAACUAAUAAGACGAGAAGACCCUAUGGAGCUUUAAUUAUUUAAUUCAAUAGAAUUAUAUUACCCCACUAAUCUUUAGUGAAUUAACACCUAUUCUAACUGAAUUAAAAAUUUUGGUUGGGGUGACCUCGGAGUACAAAAUAACCUCCGAGAAUCUUAUACUGAGACUUACAAGUCAAAGCAAACACACUAAUGAUCCAGUCUAACUGAUCAACGGAACAAGUUACCCUAGGGAUAACAGCGCAAUCCUAUUCAAGAGUUCAUAUCGACAAUAGGGUUUACGACCUCGAUGUUGGAUCAGGACAUCCUAAUGGUGCAGCCGCUAUUAAUGGUUCGUUUGUUCAACGAUUAAAGUCCUACGUGAUCUGAGUUCAGACCGGAGUAAUCCAGGUCGGUUUCUAUCUAUUUAGUAUUUCUCCCAGUACGAAAGGACAAGAGAAAUAGAGCCAACUUACACCUAAGCGCUCUAAAGUAAAUAAAUGAUAUUAUAUUAAUUUAAUAAACUUACUAUAAAUCCACUUUAGAUCAAAGUUUC
Molecule: ribosomal RNA, 1580 nt
Filed under: Chodsigoa parva (pygmy brown-toothed shrew)
Lineage: Eukaryota; Metazoa; Chordata; Mammalia; Eulipotyphla; Soricidae
Description: 16S ribosomal RNA
Rfam family: Bacterial large subunit ribosomal RNA
Source: RNAcentral